This 6493-nucleotide long non-coding RNA is filed under the name Canis lupus familiaris (dog). Its description in RNAcentral is "lncRNA (ENSCAFG00000051191.1)". Lineage: Eukaryota; Metazoa; Chordata; Mammalia; Carnivora; Canidae. The record is from RNAcentral.
AGAUUUUUAUAAGGCCAACAUUGGGAAAUUUGUUCACUUUUCCUGUGAAAAGGACCCUGCUACUACGCAGUGUGGCUAUAGAAAGGGACCCUUGCCUACACUGAGAGAGGAAAAAAAAAAAAGAGGCAAUUCUUCUAUACUACUGUGAUAUCCUUGGGUUUUCAGGUCAAAUAAUCUCACAGUUUUCACCCAUUGUGACAAAGGAUGCAAUUGGGAGGAUGAAGCAUCUUGAAAAUGGUAGGAACCAGCUCAUUGGCAUGUCUCUUCCAUCCCUUGCAUUCAUGGCUUGAUCCUAUGACUGCUGAAUAAUGACGUUUCUGAAAUUGUCAAGUGAGCUUUGUUGGGGUCAGCUGGUUGGUUGUCAUUAUUUUGCAGUCAGCCUAGCCUCUCCCAUGAGGACCUCAUGAGCCUAAGCACAAUCGUCACUAGAUGGUAAUAACAAUACCUUUGGGUGGGGGGGAAAGGUUAUCGGGAAGGCGCCAAGGUCUUUGCUCUUUGAAUUCACAUCUUUCAUAAGCACUGUUUUGCCUGGUGAUUUUCAUUGCUUGCUUAGUAUUGAGUUUGACCCAACAAUCUCUAUACCGUGAGGUUUCUUUAGCACCGGGUGAUCUGUGUCACAUCGCAUACCUAGUGUUGUGCUUGCUGCAAUAACGUCCUUUCCGAGCGCCUGACCACUCAAAAGUUUUCUUGUAUUUCAUAGUGUCUUUACUUAUUGCCAGGGAAGUGGGUAUGAUCUCUAAAGUGUAAAAUCAUUUCUAGAGAGAAAAGUUCUUUAUAAAUUACUCAUGUCAUCCUGAAAUUUCGCUAUCAGAAUUUCCCCCAGAAGUUCUGAAAUAAAGGCUAUGCAGUAUAGCCAUAAAAUAUGCACUGAAAUAUCUUGAUUUGAGAAUCUGCGCUAAGUUGUGAUUUAAAGUAUCAAAAGUGUAUUUUAAAAGAAACUAGAAGGCCCUCUAGUAGAGAUCCUAAAAGAAAAAUUAAUAGCACAAUCCAUGAGAGUUGGGGGAGGGAGAAACAGUAAACUUUAGGAGCUGGCUCUGCUCUUUAGACCAUUGGGUACCUAACUGAAGUAUAUUUAUUGAUGCAUCAUCGUGGUUUUGACCUUACAGUACAAUAUUUCAUAAAUUGCAUCAAUUUUACUUUAUUUGUUGAAAAUCUAUGCUAGUCUUUGAGUUGGACAAAAGCCUAUAGCUUCUUUUAAAAAGUUUCAUGUUCAGCUAAAUGUUAGAGUUUAAAUGUAUGAAACAUAAUUAUGAACACAUUUUUUCUGUUCAACUUUGACAUCCAUAUUAUGCAUUGUUAUAAUUUAGGUUUGCAAAACUAUACAAAUAAAGUACGUUUUAGGAAUUUUUUUGUCUUAUAAGUCAGAAUUAUAAACUCAUCUUGCCUAAAAGUAGAAUCUUUGUUUUUUAGUCAGAUAUUUUGAAAGUUUAGAAGAAUUUUUUAUGCUGCUUUUACUAUUUCUCAAAUGCAGUCAGCAGGAAAGUAUGACCUUUGUCAUACUUUUAUGUGAAAUGUCUGAGGACAUUUUAAAUUAUAGAAAAAAGUAAUUUUUGCAAGUAUGUGGGCCACAUUUUUUUUUCCAGUCCUGCACUAAGUUGCAUCAUUAGGUCUAUUAAAGCUUUUGAAAAUACUGCCGUCCUUUAUGGGGAAAAGGCUAAUUACUGAUUUUUCUGCCUUCAAAAUCCAAGAGUUAAUUCCAAUUGAGUGCUAACAAUAGGUAGUCAACACAGAGAACUAAAAUUUACCUCAAGAUGUCACUGUGUCUAUUUCUCAUAUUAGAUUCUCGUUUUUCUAAUUAAAGCAUUUAUUUAGCCAGUAACAAACUAUGUCUGUAUAUAUGUGUGUGUAUACAUUAUACAUUCGUAUAGAUUUAAAUGUAUACAUACACAUAUAUAUAAAGUUGUUCUGGUUCUUAAUUAGUGAUGAUACAUUCUAUUAUGUAUUUGGAAUGUCUACCCUACUAGUGUGAUGACCAUUGUCAUAAAAGCAGAAUUAAAAAAAAAAAAGUUAGCCAAUAGUUUUCCUUUGGUAAUUACAAGAAAACCCUCUUAAGUUGACCUCAUGUCAUUCUUCUAAUUAAUAAAUUCAGCUUCUAAAUUGUGUCCAUAAUUUCUUAGCUGACAAACAGUGGUGUUUGAAGAUCGUUUUCUUCUCUGGGUGGCUCAUUAUGUGCCCAACAUGCCAGGAGGAAAGGUAAACAGGUGUCCCUCGCAGGUACUGUCGAGAAGAGAUCUGGCCCGAAAGCAAGCAGGAGCCACGCGGGCCAGGAUGGAGCCGUGGCCAGGUGACCCCCGCAGCAGGUGGCAGGAGCGGUGGCCUGUCAUCACAUGGUUGCAUUUUAGUUCAUUCUCUUUGGAAGCCACAGGAGUUUAGCAGUGACAUCGUGUGCCCGACAGAAGGCAGCUCGAGACAGGGACAUGGAUGACCUCAGAGCUGCAGCUCGAGACUCAAGUAGGAUUUUGUAAAUGAGUAAAUGACAUUUUUUCCCCCUGGGUUCCUUGUACUAGUCUAUGAGUCCCUGUGAUCUAGUGAUGCCGUUCUUCGGAAAGUGUCGCCUCCAGCACCUGGCCAGCUUCAUCUGGGCUGCUGGAAGCACAGUAGGUACGGAUGGUUCUUUCCUGGAAAUCUUGACAGGCUUAUUGUACUGUGUAAUUGGGCAAAGUUAAAGUGUAAUGUAGGUGUUAAUAAGUGACUGAUGUGAAAAAUAGGAACAUGUGUCUCUAAUAUCAAAUAUGGCUUUUUUGGGGGCAGUGAAAUCUAUAUUCCUCGUCCUGUGGUAGUAUUUUCUUGCUCUGUGUUGUACCUUUUCUUAAACACAUUAUUCUUGACAGUGGCAUUGGACAAGUUGAACACAAUAGAAAGUGCUUGACUUAAAGACAUCAGUUGAGAAACCAUGAUAAAUUAGUCUUCGUCUGCAAGUAUGAAAGUAAAUUUAAAAAACCAUGGUCCAGAAGAGAACAAAUAUUCAUAAGUGGGUUUUUUUUCCUACUGCUCAUUUUUAAGUAUGUUUACAUCCAGUCUCUGAGAGCUAUAAAGUCUGCAUUGUUUUCCCAGGUUCUUCUUUAUUUAACUAAGAAAUCAUAGUUCAGAUUCCUCUUGAUGCCAGAUGGAAUGAGAAAUGUUACAAUUUUUGUUAAAAGGGCAAUUUUUUAAGCAUUCAGUUUGGUAAUCAUGUAUCUUAUGUAUUUAAAUUAGAUUUUUCUUUGCUCACCACUUAUAUGCUAUGGGUAUUUUUUUAAAAAUGUAUUAUGCUCUGGAUGUCUCAGAUCACCUUAUGUAAUGGAUUAUAAAGGCUGGUAACGGUCAUUCCUCAAACCUGUGUAUGAUAUUGGCAACAGUUUUAAUGUUGCUACCUUUUAAAUAUCAUGUAUUAUUAAUGCACCUCAUGUUUUCAGGGAAAGCUUGAAAUCUAGCUAAACAAAUAGGAAUUUGCAUUUCAUCAUUCAUGCAUUUUUUUCCUCAUAAAAAUAGUUUCUCAAAAAAGUGACAUAUUGUCUCUUAGGUGGUCCCGACCAGUUUCAAAGCUCUCCUCUCGCUCCUCAGUGGCAUUUUGCCUCUUCAGUCUCAAAGUCUUUGUUGUGGUCAAACCAUCCAAUCCACAAAAGAGUGGGAAAGUUGUUUCCAAUACUGGGAAUUUUUAAACCCUCAAGUCUGAAAAUAUCUCUUAUUGGCUUCAAUAUCUUCAAUUUUUUUCCCCCUUCCUUACUCUAGUCCCUCUAAGGAGCAAGCCUAAAGCGUGGGGUCAUGAAGCCACUAUUUCUUCCAGUCUCACUUUGGUUCCUCCUACACAGGUGACCUUCCGCCACUCUGCACAGCACCACCCCUGUUCCUCUUCCCCACCGGAGCCGCUCUCUGCUAUUCAUAGGACAUCCCAACACAUCUUUUCCAAUAGGGACACGAUCCUCAGAUCACAGAUCUUGCCUGUCAGCAUAGAAGCAUGCCCCAACACCACCCCUACCCCCCCACCCCCCAUGAGCAAACAGCUCUGCCCAACUCACAUUUUCCUGUGUCACAGGCUGCCGAGAGAUAAGGCCACAGGUCCACCUAGGGAAGCAUUUGUCGUGGGCUUUGCUAAACCAUGUUCAUUCUUACCCACAUCCUUCAUGAGAAUGGUGGGCACUCGGCGGCUGUGGGAGAGAAUGUCAAAAAGUUCUACUGAGGACUCCAGCGCACAGUUACAGAAAAAUUCGCCCCACACUCUAACUGGGUAAGCUCACUGCACCCCCCCCACACACAAUAUAUUGAGACUGCCCGGUGUCUCCUAAGUUCCAGGGCAGUUAAAUCCUUGGAAUAACCCACCAGUACUUCACUGCAAAGUAGGAGGAUGCUGACUCUUUUGAGGAAAAACUCUUUCUUAAAAAAUUCAUCACUUAUAAAAUAAGCUGAGUGUGACUUCUUUUAGCCAUGGAGCCAUUGUCCCCGUUCCCUCGGGAAACAGUGCCUCUGAAUUGAAUGUUCAAGCAUCUAGCUGUGGAGUUACCAAAGAAUAAUUGAAUAAUUUGGCCAUUUGUAGACUGUCUGACAUUUGAAGCAAGAACCCAGAUCCCUUUUAAGCACUCGCAUAGGUGGAUGGGUGAUGCAGUGGCUCAUGGUCUCACUUUCUAUGCAGCUAAGGAUCCAGGAUGUGUUUAGUUUUUUUUUUGGUUUGUUUUGUUUUUUUGUUUUUAACCUCACUCUCUAAGUCAUCAUAGUUAAUUAUUUGGGUGGGUAUUCUUGAGUGUAAUUUCCCCCCCAAGAUAAUAGAACUGGCAUUUGCUCAUUCUCUUCACACAUUUAAUUUUCAGCAGUUCAACUAGUGUUAGGGACCCUCACUGGGACAGUUAAGGCUAGAAGAAAGACCAGUCCUGGCCCCAGAGCCUACACUCUAACUAUACUAUCUGGUUUUGUUUUGUUUGUUAACAAGUUGAAAACUAGGAGUUUAAAACCAACUUUUUUCCCUUCUUAAGCUGAAGGGAAAGUUUUAAUUUUAGCUCCCCAUUUAAGCAAUGAAGACUGCCUUGAAAGACAGCAGUGUCCUUCCCUCGGUGAAGAGGCUAAAACCAAAAGCCAAGUCUGUCUCUGAAUAUUCCUUUGACACAUUUUUAUCUAUUUUUAAUGUAAAAUCCAUAAAUGAAUCUGACAUGGUCUUCAUGACUUACCUCUAGGCCUGCUUGCCUUUAUUUAUUUAUUUUGGAACUUAUUUUUUGAAUAUAGGCUUUUCUUAUUAUUUCCCAGAGCGAUCCUAGAAACGAUUCUGAUGGGCUACCCCAUGACUGCCUCCUGGUGUCCUGGAAGUUUGGCAGCAGUGUCAGCAGGGCUUACCUCUUAGGGAGAAGCAUCUGAAAAAUGCCAGAUAAGCUGAGUUUUAUGUACAAGUCAACAAGCAUUUGAGAAAUGCUUUAUGCCUCAGAUUUUGACAUUUAAAUUUUUUUUCCCCAAGUACCAGCUACUAUUUGACUUGGAGGGGUUGGCAAGCAGGACAGGGAUUAGACAUAAAAUAUGAACUAAGUGGCAUAGGCAAGACUUCCCACCCCUAUGUCUCCAUGUGCAUGUGUCUCUGGAAAAUAUAUUGUCCCCGCUCCCUGUCUACCACUUUGAGUUGCUUAAGGAGCAAACUGUAAGUGUGUAGAAAUGAAAAAGCUGACCUCAAAGACAUAAGUUAUUUUUAGAUAUUUUCUUUGUAAACUUAGGAAUAAGCCUGGUUUAUGAAUUGCAUAAUAUGGCUACUACAGCUAUAAUCUGGAGGUAACUAGAUACAUCCUUUCAAAUAUGUUUCCCUUACAAACCUAACUUUGUUGUAACUGGGAAAAGAAACUCCUUGUUUAAAAAAAAAAAAAAGCCAACAAAAAGACUUCAGUAAAAGAAUGUGGCAUCAGUCUAUCCUCUGUCCCACAGUGCUUGUUUCUUGCCUAUAAUAUAGUUUUUCAACAAUUUUUAUGGGAGAAAAAAAUGCACAUUUUUUUCUUGGAAAAGUGAAUUGAGGUAUUGAAUUAAAUUCUCCGAGAGGACAACCUAAAGAGAAACAUGGGAUUUAGAGAUGAGCUCACAGCUCUGUGGUCACUGUUCCAGCAUUGACUUUACUGUGUGACCUUGAACAAAUGAUUUAACGACUCUGUGCCUCAAUUUCUCCAUGUACAAAAUGGGGAUCAUGAUACCAACCAUUGCCUACCUCAUAUGGAUGUUAUGGGGACAAAUAAGAUAAUAUAAAUACAAAUGCUUUGAUCUCUGGAAGAAAGGUGCUAUAUAAAUUAAAGUUGUGUUGUUUUUAAUGAUCCAAUUAUUAUGUUUAAGGUUUAAAUAAUAGCAAUACUGUUAGUCAUGUUAAGAAUAAGUUUCAAUUCAACACAUAAUUACAAUUCUCUUCUGUGGCCAAAUCUUGAUCGUUCAUCCAGUAAUGGUACGUAAGGAACUGAAAUGGGUUUUUUUUUUCUGUGUGUUUCUGCCCAAUAGUAUUUCUAUUCUAAAUGUUCCCAAAAGGCUGGAGUUUAACUUGUGAUAUCUUAUAGUUUACAUG